ACCAUGCACCGAAGCUGCGGCAGCGACACUGUGUGUUGUUGGGUAGGGGAGCGUUCUGUAAGCCUGUGAAGGUGUGUCGUGAGGCAUGCUGGAGGUAUCAGAAGUGCGAAUGCUGACAUAAGUAACGAUAAAGCGGGUGAAAAGCCCGCUCGCCGGAAGACCAAGGGUUCCUGUCCAACGUUAAUCGGGGCAGGGUGAGUCGACCCCUAAGGCGAGGCCGAAAGGCGUAGUCGAUGGGAAACGGGUUAAUAUUCCCGUACUUGGUGUUACUGCGAAGGGGGGACGGAGAAGGCUAUGUUGGCCGGGCGACGGUUGUCCCGGUUUAAGCGUGUAGGUGUGUGUUCCAGGUAAAUCCGGUUCACUUUAACACUGAGGCGUGACGACGAGGCACUACGGUGCUGAAGCAACAAAUGCCCUGCUUCCAGGAAAAGCCUCUAAGCAUCAGGUAACAUCAAAUCGUACCCCAAACCGACACAGGUGGUCAGGUAGAGAAUACCAAGGCGCUUGAGAGAACUCGGGUGAAGGAACUAGGCAAAAUGGUGCCGUAACUUCGGGAGAAGGCACGCUGACACGUAGGUGAAGUGAUUUACUCAUGGAGCUGAAGUCAGUCGAAGAUACCAGCUGGCUGCAACUGUUUAUUAAAAACACAGCACUGUGCAAACACGAAAGUGGACGUAUACGGUGUGACGCCUGCCCGGUGCCGGAAGGUUAAUUGAUGGGGUCAGCGCAAGCGAAGCUCCUGAUCGAAGCCCCGGUAAACGGCGGCCGUAACUAUAACGGUCCUAAGGUAGCGAAAUUCCUUGUCGGGUAAGUUCCGACCUGCACGAAUGGCGUAAUGAUGGCCAGGCUGUCUCCACCCGAGACUCAGUGAAAUUGAACUCGCUGUGAAGAUGCAGUGUACCCGCGGCAAGACGGAAAGACCCCGUGAACCUUUACUAUAGCUUGACACUGAACAUUGAGCCUUGAUGUGUAGGAUAGGUGGGAGGCUUUGAAGUGUGGACGCCAGUCUGCAUGGAGCCGACCUUGAAAUACCACCCUUUAAUGUUUGAUGUUCUAACGUGGACCCGUUACCCGGGUUGCGGACAGUGUCUGGUGGGUAGUUUGACUGGGGCGGUCUCCUCCUAAAGAGUAACGGAGGAGCACGAAGGUUGGCUAAUC
RNAcentral lists this ribosomal RNA (1158 nucleotides) under Salmonella enterica. RNAcentral's name for it is "partial 23S ribosomal RNA". It matches the Rfam family "Bacterial large subunit ribosomal RNA", at positions 1186 to 2326 of the family's 2925-position model. Lineage: Bacteria; Pseudomonadati; Pseudomonadota; Gammaproteobacteria; Enterobacterales; Enterobacteriaceae. The record is from RNAcentral.